RNAcentral lists this ribosomal RNA (371 nucleotides) under uncultured organism. RNAcentral describes it as "partial 16S ribosomal RNA". It matches the Rfam family "Bacterial small subunit ribosomal RNA", at positions 527 to 896 of the family's 1533-position model. The record is from RNAcentral.
GUAGGUGGCAAGCGUUGUCCGGAAUUAUUGGGCGUAAAGCGCGCGCAGGCGGUCCUUUAAGUCUGAUGUGAAAGCCCACGGCUCAACCGUGGAGGGUCAUUGGAAACUGGGGGACUUGAGUACAGAAGAGGAAAGCGGAAUUCCAAGUGUAGCGGUGAAAUGCGUAGAGAUUUGGAGGAACACCAGUGGCGAAGGCGGCUUUCUGGUCUGUAACUGACGCUGAGGCGCGAAAGCGUGGGGAGCAAACAGGAUUAGAUACCCUGGUAGUCCACGCCGUAAACGAUGAGUGCUAAGUGUUAGGGGGUUUCCGCCCCUUAGUGCUUCAGCUAACGCAUUAAGCACUCCGCCUGGGGAGUACGGCCGCAAGGCUG